RNAcentral lists this ribosomal RNA (463 nucleotides) under uncultured bacterium. RNAcentral describes it as "partial 16S ribosomal RNA". It matches the Rfam family "Bacterial small subunit ribosomal RNA", at positions 28 to 507 of the family's 1533-position model. The record is from RNAcentral.
GACGAACGCUGGCGGCGUGCUUAACACAUGCAAGUCGAACGGAAAGGCCUUUUCGGAGGUACUCGAGUGGCGAACGGGUGAGUAACACGUGUGUGAUCUGCCCUGCACUCUGGGAUAAGCCUGGGAAACUGGGUCUAAUACCGGAUAGGACCGCACUUUAGUGUGGGGGGUGGAAGGUUUUUUCGGUGUAGGAUUAGCCCGCGGCCUAUCAGCUUGUUGGUGGGGUAAUGGCCUACCAAGGCGGCGACGGGUAGCCGGACAGAGAGGUUGGUCGGCCACAUUGGGACUGAGAUACGCCCCAGACUCCUACGGGGGGCAGCGGUGGAGAAUAGUGCACAAUGGGCGCAAGCCUGAUGCCACGAAGCCGCGUGGGGGACGACGGCCUUCGGGUUGUGAACUCCUUUUGCCAGGGACGAAGCGUUUUGUGACGGUACCUGGCGAAGAAGCACCGGCUAACUACGUG